Molecule: ribosomal RNA, 464 nt
Filed under: uncultured bacterium
Lineage: Bacteria
Description: bacterial SSU rRNA
Rfam family: Bacterial small subunit ribosomal RNA
Source: RNAcentral
GACGAACGCUGGCGGCGUGCCUAAAACAUGCAAGUCGAACGGAGUAGCAAUACUCAGUGGCGAACGGCGGAGUAAUACAUGAACAACGUGCCCGGAAGACUGGGAUAGUCAGGGGAAACCCUGGGUAAUACCAGAUGUGGCCGAUCUUUGGCAUCUUAGAUCGAUCAAAUGGUUUUUCGCUUCCGGAGCGGUUCAUGGCCUAUCAGGUAGCUGGUGAGGUAAUGGCNCACCAAGCCGACGACGGGUAGCGGGUCUGAGAGGAUGAUCCGCUCGAGUGGGACUGAGACACGGCCCACACACCUACGGGUGGCAGCAGUUGGGAAUCUUGCACAAUGGGGGAAACCCUGAUGCAGCGACGCCGCGUGGAGGAUGAAGGGUCUAGGCCUGUAAACUCCUUUUACCGGGAAAGACUUAGGACGGUACCCGGGAAGUAAGACCGGGCUAACUACGUGCCAGCCGCCGCU